Molecule: long non-coding RNA, 1423 nt
Organism: Panicum virgatum (switchgrass)
Lineage: Eukaryota; Viridiplantae; Streptophyta; Magnoliopsida; Poales; Poaceae
Exons: 2
Source: RefSeq, a predicted model, not a curated record
UCAGCCAUGCGCACCAACCGAACCAGCUCUCCCCACCGAUCCACCUCAAGCCCGUUGGGCCCAGCCAUGCCCAGGAGUAUAUAUUUGCACCCACUCCAUCCUCAACCCUAAUCUCUCCUCCCCCACCUCGGCUUCAGCCGUCGCCAGGAGGCGCAGCUCUCUCCCGUGCUCCUCCCUCUCUCUCUGGCGGGCCCACCGGCGACGGCGCUCCUCCCCGGCCUGGGUCCGGCCGGCGACGACGGUCCACUCCGCUCCUCUCGCGGCCGGAUCGGGCGGUGACAGCUGCGGAUCGGGCGGCAGAGGUGUGGAUCGAGUAGAGCUGCGCGUGCAGGCGGACCGGGGAGGAGGGAGGUGGCUUCACGGCAGGAGCUGCGCGGGCGCUCCACGGCACGCAGGGAAAAGGAGCAGCGGCGUCUGCUGCUGCAGGAGGCGACGACAGCGCUGAUCCGGCAGGAGGCCGGCGAGCGCGCGCGGCGCCAGCCAGAGCAAGCGCAGCGUGGCCCUUGCGAGGCUGCGAAAGAGCGAGGCAACCAGCGGCGCGCAGGGCGCAGCACGCGAGGAGCCGAGGUGGUGCACAGCAUUGCGUGCAUCAAGCUGAGCUGGAGGGGCCGCCGGAGCCACGCGCGUCGGGCCGCUGGAGUCGCAGCUCCUCCUCUGCACCAGACCCACCAGCGCCGCUGCUGUCCCAUGGAGGUGGUAGCUCUCAUGUUCCGUUGCCGCAUUGAUGCUCUCCAAUUGGAGGAGUUGGUUGCUGUGUGCUGUGCGGCAGUGCUUGCCAUGGGAGAGAAGAGGAAUUCCGUGAGGAACAGAGAGAGAGAGAGAGAGAGGAGAAGGAUUCUAUGCUCAAGAAGGACCAGAUGGAUGAUGAAGACGAUGAGGACUAGAUAUAGAUAGAGGUCAACCUUGAGAAGCUCCCUGUAGCACUGGGGACCCCGGUAAGCUCGCCAAGAUGAAGUACCUAGAUCUUUGCUAGGAGAAAGAAGACAUUGAUGGCGAUGCCCAGCACCCACCCCGCGCUCCUCCGCCAAGAUGAUCCGUGCGUGCCUCCGGCACUGAAGUCUAUGACCUGUAUCGUUGCUUUCUAUGACUUGUAUAUAGUAUAAAACUGCCAUAUAUGACCUUCUAUGACCUUCUAUGACCUCUGUAUGACAAUGUGAUUUCUAUGGAUCAAUAAGAUUCGAAAGUUCAAAUUUUAUGUCAUGCUACCGUGAUUUCUAUGAGCCAAUUAGAUGCGUGUAUACACAAAUUUUAUGCAGAAGGACGUCUGAUUAUAGAUAGUCCAAACAUUCUAUAACCCAUAUCGCUGGCUUAUAUGAUCCCUGUAUGACAGUGUUAUAGAUAGUCUGAACUUUCUAUGACCCAUAUCACUGUAUUCUAUGACAUGUAUUAUGGUACAAAUUGCCAUCUAUGACUUUCUAUGAUA